GCCUUCGUGCUGUAGUGGUCAGCAUGCUUGACGUAUAACCAAGAGGUCCGUGGUUCGAUUCCCGGCGAAGGCG
RNAcentral lists this transfer RNA (73 nucleotides) under Stegodyphus mimosarum. It matches the Rfam family "tRNA". Rfam says of the family: Transfer RNA (tRNA) molecules are approximately 80 nucleotides in length. Lineage: Eukaryota; Metazoa; Arthropoda; Arachnida; Araneae; Eresidae. The record is from Rfam by way of RNAcentral.